GAUGAACGCUGGCGGCGUGCCUAAUACAUGCAAGUCGAGCGAACGGACGAGAAGCUUGCUUCCCUGAUGUUAGCGGCGGACGGGUGAGUAACACGUGGAUAACCUACCUAUAAGACUGGGAUAACUUCGGGAAACCGUAGCUAAUACCGGAUCAUAUUUUGAACCGCAUGGUUCAAAAGUGAAAGACGGUCUUGCUGUCACUUAUAGAUGGAUCCGCGCUGCAUUAGCUUGUUGGUAAGGUAACGGCUUACCAAGGCAACGAUGCAUAGCCGACCUGAGAGGGUGAUCGGCCACACUGGAACUGAGACACGGUCCAGACUCCUACGGGAGGCAGCAGUAGGGAAUCUUCCGCAAUGGGCGAGAGCCUGACGGAGCAACGCCGCGUGAGUGAUGAAGGUCUUCGGAUCGUAAAACUCUGUUAUUAGGGAAGAACAUAUGUGUAAGUAACUGUGCACAUCUUGACGGUACCUAAUCAGAAAGCCACGGCUAACUACGUG
Molecule: ribosomal RNA, 497 nt
Filed under: uncultured bacterium
Lineage: Bacteria
Description: partial 16S ribosomal RNA
Rfam family: Bacterial small subunit ribosomal RNA
Source: RNAcentral